RNAcentral lists this ribosomal RNA (406 nucleotides) under uncultured bacterium. RNAcentral's name for it is "partial 16S ribosomal RNA". It matches the Rfam family "Bacterial small subunit ribosomal RNA", at positions 30 to 525 of the family's 1533-position model. The record is from RNAcentral.
AUUGAACGCUGGCGGCAUGCCUAACACAUGCAAGUCGAACGAGUGGCGCACGGGUGUGUAAUGUCGGGGAACCUGCCCUCUGGAGGGGGAUAACUACUGAAACCGGUAGCUAAUACCGCAUACCAUCGGAUGUGCCCUGAUGGGAUUAGCUAGUAGGUGGGGUAACGGCUCACCUAGUAGACGAUCCCUAGCUGGUCUGAGAGGAUGACCAGCCACACUGGAACUGAGACACGGUCCAGACUCCUACGGGAGGCAGCAGUGGGGAAUAUUGCACAAUGGGCGAAAGCCUGAUGCAGCAAUGCCGCGUGAAUGAAGAAGGCCUUCGGGUUGUAAAGUACUUUCAGCGGGGAGGCGUUACCCGCAGAAGAAGCACCGGCUAACUCCGUGCCAGCAGCCGCGGUAAUUA